This 436-nucleotide ribosomal RNA is filed under the name uncultured beta proteobacterium. Its description in RNAcentral is "bacterial SSU rRNA". It matches the Rfam family "Bacterial small subunit ribosomal RNA", at positions 777 to 1218 of the family's 1533-position model. The record is from RNAcentral. Lineage: Bacteria; Pseudomonadati; Pseudomonadota; Betaproteobacteria.
AUUAGAUACCCAGGUAGUCCACGCCCUAAACGAUGUCAACUAGCUGUUGGGGCCUUCGGGCCUUAGUAGCGCAGCUAACGCGUGAAGUUGACCGCCUGGGGAGUACGGUCGCAAGAUUAAAACUCAAAGGAAUUGACGGGGACCCGCACAAGCGGUGGAUGAUGUGGAUUAAUUCGAUGCAACGCGAAAAACCUUACCUACCCUUGACAUGUCUGGAAUCCCGAAGAGAUUUGGGAGUGCUCGCAAGAGAACUGGAACACAGGUGCUGCAUGGCUGUCGUCAGCUCGUGUCGUGAGAUGUUGGGUUAAGUCCCGCAACGAGCGCAACCCUUGUCAUUAGUUGCUACGAAAGGGCACUCUAAUGAGACUGCCGGUGACAAACCGGAGGAAGGUGGGGAUGACGUCAAGUCCUCAUGGCCCUUAUGGGUAGGGCUUCA